CCGCAGGCCUUUGCAGGGCUAAUGCCAGCUCUUCAAGUCACUUGAUUCACCAGGGCUGCCUUAUCUUAGCCCUGUCUUUGGUUUUAACUUGCUAGGGCAAUUAUGGCUUGCUUUGGCUUUUAUCUGGUUUUAUGGUACAGAAUUAUGCUGUUUUGCAUAUUGGGGAUCAAACCCAGGGCCUCAUGCAUGCUAGACGAGCACUCAAUGAUGCAGAUAUAUCCCUAGCCCUUUAAAAAAAUUUUUGUGAACAGGUCUCAAACUCUAUUUCAAUGAGUUGACAUGGCUGACUUCAAACUUGGGAUCUGCCUGCCUCAGCUUCCCAAGUAGCUGGGGUUGCAGGCAAGAGAAGGGAAAUGGGAAACAAGUGUCCUUCAACGUGGAUUUGAAGGCACAGUUCCCCUUCCCCAUCCUCAUCCUAAGGCUGGCAUCCUAAGCCUCCUGAGUGCAGCAGAAAGUUCUUAACAUUGGGUGCUGCUUUGUGCUUGGUUGGUUUAAUUACUUUGGAGCAAGACAGACUCAGGUGACCCUUUGGUUGCAGUCUUCUAAGAUUCCUCUAAUUUCCCAGCCUUAUUUUUCUUACUGUGUUAAUUGAUUAAACCUGGUCAUUUGGCUUGUAGCAAUUUCUGCAUUCUGGAUUCAGCUGAUUGCUUUUCUCUUCCUGUAAACAAGUAUUGUGCCAACUAAUCAUGCCAGGAGGAGCUGAAUUCACAAAUAUAGGUGCAUAUCUAGAGAUUCUAGGUUUCCUUGGAGGAAAG
RNAcentral lists this long non-coding RNA (755 nucleotides) under Heterocephalus glaber (naked mole-rat). Its description in RNAcentral is "lncRNA (ENSHGLG00100043247.1)". Lineage: Eukaryota; Metazoa; Chordata; Mammalia; Rodentia; Bathyergidae. The record is from RNAcentral.